CAAUAGCGUAUAUUAAAGUUGUUGCAGUUAAAAAGCUCGUAGUUGAACUUUGGGCCUGGCAGGCCGGUCCGCUUUUUGGCGAGUAAUGACCCUGCCGGGCCUUUCCUUCUGGCUAACCUCCCCUCUGGAGAGGCGAACCAGGACUUUUACUUUGAAAAAAUUAGAGUGUUCAAAGCAGGCCUUUGCUCGAAUAUAUUAGCAUGGAAUAAUAGAAUAGGACGUUUGGUUCUAUUUUGUUGGUUUCUAGGACCAUCGUAAUGAUUAAUAGGGACGGUCGGGGGCAUCAGUAUUCAGUUGUCAGAGGUGAAAUUCUUGGAUUUACUGAAGACUAACUACUGCGAAAGCAUUUGCCAAGGACGUUUUCAUUAA
Molecule: ribosomal RNA, 369 nt
Filed under: uncultured eukaryote
Lineage: Eukaryota
Description: partial 18S ribosomal RNA
Rfam family: Eukaryotic small subunit ribosomal RNA
Source: RNAcentral